RNAcentral lists this ribosomal RNA (467 nucleotides) under uncultured bacterium. Its description in RNAcentral is "partial 16S ribosomal RNA". It matches the Rfam family "Bacterial small subunit ribosomal RNA", at positions 28 to 506 of the family's 1533-position model. The record is from RNAcentral.
GACGAACGCUGGCGGCGUGCUAAACACAUGCAAGUCGAACGGAAAGGCCCUGCUUUUGUGGGGUGCUCGAGUGGCGAACGGGUGAGUAACACGUGAGUAACCUGCCCUUGACUUUGGGAUAACUUCAGGAAACUGGGGCUAAUACCGGAUAGGAGCUCCUGCUGCAUGGUGGGGGUUGGAAAGUUUCGGCGGUUGGGGAUGGACUCGCGGCUUAUCAGCUUGUUGGUGGGGUAGUGGCUUACCAAGGCUUUGACGGGUAGCCGGCCUGAGAGGGUGACCGGCCACAUUGGGACUGAGAUACGGCCCAGACUCCUACGGGAGGCAGCAGUGGGGAAUAUUGCACAAUGGGCGGAAGCCUGAUGCAGCAACGCCGCGUGCGGGAUGACGGCCUUCGGGUUGUAAACCGCUUUCGCCUGUGACGAAGCGUGAGUGACGGUAAUGGGUAAAGAAGCACCGGCUAACUACGU